GACGUAGGGCGCGAGCGUUGUCCGGAUUUAUUGGGCGUAAAGAGCUCGUAGGCGGCUCGUUGCGUCGGCUGUGAAAACCCGCAGCUCAACUGUGGGCUUGCAGCUGAUACGGGCGGGCUAGAAUUCGGUAGGGGAGACUGGAAUUCCUGGUGUAGCGGUGAAAUGCGCAGAUAUCAGGAGGAACACCGGUGGCGAAGGCGGGUCUCUGGGCCGAUAUUGACGCUGAGGAGCGAAAGCCAGGGGAGCAAACGGG
Molecule: ribosomal RNA, 253 nt
Filed under: uncultured bacterium
Lineage: Bacteria
Description: partial 16S ribosomal RNA
Rfam family: Bacterial small subunit ribosomal RNA
Source: RNAcentral